RNAcentral lists this unclassified non-coding RNA (377 nucleotides) under fungal sp. RNAcentral describes it as "partial internal transcribed spacer region". The stretch from base 1 to 46 matches the Rfam family "Eukaryotic small subunit ribosomal RNA", at positions 1786 to 1831 of the family's 1831-position model. The record is from RNAcentral. Lineage: Eukaryota; Fungi.
AAGUCGUAACAAGGUUUCCGUAGGUGAACCUGCGGAAGGAUCAUUAUUACGAAAUCAAAAAUCGUAACCCCAAACAACAAAUUGUGAAUUUCUGUACUGUUCCGGUAGUUUCAUUUGACCUUUGUAAAGGCUUACUUUGAUGUGCUUGCUUCAAAAACAUGCAUAUUCAAAGCACUUCUGAGCAGAUGAAGUGAACGGGUCUUUUUCGUCGAAUGAUUUCAAACUACCGGUUAGUAUUAUCUGCUCACACACUUAACAAACCAUUAACCCCAUGUAACUAUUUUGAACUAAAUACAUCUGACGCAUGCAUCUCAUGUAUGUGUCUGAAUCAAAACCGAACUUAAGAACAACUCUUAACAACGGAUAUCUUGGUUCUC